GUUAGAAGCACAGCUUGCCUGAUGCAUUAAAUACAUUUUGCUGAUGUCUUGCACCGGGUUACAAACUUGAAUUUGAGGGUUUUUCUUUCCUCACUUGCUUUUGUUCUUACUUAGGAUUCACUGUCUCCUGAGAGACUCCUCCUGAGAGUGUGGUACCCACUGGGUUGUCCGUUAAGGAAGCCUGAGGAUUUAAGCCAUUUUUUGGUUGCCAGACCAUUGCCUUCCUCUAGCUCUCUAGCUCAUGCCUCCCUCAUCUUCUUCCUCUCUGGUUUGGCAGUGGAUAAGAAAACCAGGCAAGAGCCAGACCAUUACAGAGCUAUGGAAAUUCGUCUCGUCCAUCCUAGAAAAAAGAAAGGCAUGUGGAGGCUACGCACAGAAUGGUGUUAGGGUAGAGUAAGGGUGGAAAGCUGCUGAGAAGACAACUCCAGUAUUGCUCAAGUGUGAGCGGCCGCUUGGGACAGGGAAACAUGGG
This 472-nucleotide long non-coding RNA is filed under the name Gallus gallus (chicken). Its description in RNAcentral is "lncRNA (ENSGALG00010022887.1)". The record is from RNAcentral. Lineage: Eukaryota; Metazoa; Chordata; Aves; Galliformes; Phasianidae.